GGUUUUAAACCUUGUGGUACCCCCUUUGAGAGGGGCCCAGGUUUACCGGGGUGUCCCUUCCAAUAUUUCCCUUUCGGUUUUGGAAGGGGUUCCGGUUCCUUUGAAUAGGCACCGUUCAAAAUUUAUUGGCCGCCGGCUCCCCAAGGCCGGAUUCCAUUGGGCCGGGGGGGGUCCGGCCCAAAGGGCUGGAACUGGCCGGUUCCCCCCGGUGCCCCGGUUGGCCUUCCGCCUUGGGGAAGUCCAACCAAUACCGCCACUGACGAAAAGGUUUCCGAUUGGAGAACUUACCCUACAUUCGACAAAGACGUGGUGACAGCAUUCCCCCCCUGUAUUUAUCCCGAAGGGGAGCUUUUUCUGUCAGCGGCCAAGGAAUUCCAAGCUGCCAAGGUUUUUCGGUUUUUUGGAGUCAACCAAUGCUGCCCGUUUUUUAGUGGCACUGAAAAUCCCCGGGUCUACCCCGGGGGGUCAUUGUAACCUGGGGACGUGCUGCAGAGUUGCUGCAGCAAUGACAUGCGAAACCCUAAAACCGUAGCAUUCGUAGUACACCGGUGCCAAGCAGGUGUCUGGUCUGUACUGACGUCACGCUUGAAAGCGUGGCGUCAAUCCAGAUCCGUGACCCGCUUGUGCCACCUGUAUACCAUCAGCGAUAAGUGCUAUACGGUGUUGGCCUUGCAGUGCUGCUGCAAUCGCAUGCAGCAAUGUGUCUCAGGAGUCAGACAGCAUCCUCGGAGCUCCCAGGAGUUGUCGCGUCGGAGCUCAGAAGGCGCGUCAGCUCGUUUAAUUCGCAACAAAUCGUGAACACCUUUCCCAUAUAUGGACACCCGCUGACCACUGUAGAGAUAUAGCUGUCGCUUUGCGGACAAAGUCACACGUGGAGCAUGGUUGUCGUCAGCUCGUGUCGUGAGAUGUUGGAUUAAGUCCCGCAACGAGCGAAACCUUUAUUGUUAGUUGCCAUCAUUUAGUUGGGCACUCUAGCGAGACUGCCGGUGACAAACCGGAGGAAGGUGGGGAGGACGUCAAAUCAUCAUGCCCCUUAUGACCUGGGCUACACACGUGCUACAAUGGGAAGUACAACGAGUCGCUAGACCGCGAGGUCAUGCAAAUCUCUUAAAGCUUCUCUCAGUUCGGAUUGCAGGCUGCAACUCGCCUGCAUGAAGCCGGAAUCGCUAGUAAUCGCGGAUCAGCACGCCGCGGUGAAUACGUUCCCGGGCCUUGUACACACCGCCCGUCACACCACGAGAGUUUGUAACACCCGAAGUCGGUGAGGUAACCUUUUUGGAGCCAGCCGCCUAAGGUGGGAUAGAUGAUUGGGGGAAGUCGAAUCAAUGUGCAUGGGG
RNAcentral lists this ribosomal RNA (1337 nucleotides) under Enterococcus faecalis. RNAcentral's name for it is "bacterial SSU rRNA". The stretch from base 324 to 1337 matches the Rfam family "Bacterial small subunit ribosomal RNA". Lineage: Bacteria; Bacillati; Bacillota; Bacilli; Lactobacillales; Enterococcaceae. The record is from RNAcentral.